GUUUUGUUUUUGCUUUUAUCUCCUUGCCAUGGUCUGAAGAAGCCAUAUUGUUGUAAGGUUGAUGACAAAUGAGGUCAUGGCCUGUUUCAGUAUGAAGUGGGGGAAGGGGAAGCUUGCCUUCACCAAGAUCAAUCUGUACACUGUUGUCACAGAGAGUGUCCAGAAAACAUCAAAAGAGACGGGGCAAAUAUUGCAGCGGCCACCGCCUUUUGUGUAAAAUAUGCCCCAGCAGAGCCGUCGCAAGGAGGGUGAGAGGCCCUGUGCAAAGUUGACAUGCGAGGCCCUCUACAAUUUUGCGUGUGUGUGUGUGUGUGUGGUGGGGGAGGUUGCUGUAGUAAGGCAAGGCAAGUUUAUUUAUAUAGCAGAUUUCGUACACAAUGGUAAUUCAAAGUGCUUUACAUAAAAUAAAGUAAAAU
This is a long non-coding RNA of Cyprinus carpio carpio, 416 nucleotides long. The record is from Ensembl. Lineage: Eukaryota; Metazoa; Chordata; Actinopteri; Cypriniformes; Cyprinidae.